GGAGUCGAGUAUGAAUGGAUCUACGGAAACAAGCUGUCUCUUUUUGGUUAUAUUGAAGUUUCUUUAAGGGUGCAAAGUCCCUUGAUUAGAAAAAAGACGAGAAGACCCUUAGAGUUUUUAUUAAAGAUAAGAAUUUAUUUAAGUUUUUGCUGGGGCGGCAAAGAGACAAAGCAAUUAAACUCUCUUUUUAUUGUUUUUAGAAGACGAAAAUGUUAAGAAUCAUUAAACUACCUUAGGGAUAACAGCAUAAUUAAAUUUUAGUUUGUGACCUCGAUGUUGGACUAGGAAGGCUUUUGACCAGCAGUCAA
This 308-nucleotide ribosomal RNA is filed under the name Peronia verruculata. RNAcentral describes it as "partial large subunit ribosomal RNA". The record is from RNAcentral. Lineage: Eukaryota; Metazoa; Mollusca; Gastropoda; Systellommatophora; Onchidiidae.